Molecule: long non-coding RNA, 635 nt
Filed under: Selaginella moellendorffii
Lineage: Eukaryota; Viridiplantae; Streptophyta; Lycopodiopsida; Selaginellales; Selaginellaceae
Description: long non-coding RNA (SMOE_LNC001808)
Source: RNAcentral
UUUUGUUUUCUUUUUUAUGUAUAUCACUGGGUUUUAAGAGAAAGGUGCUUGCAAAUCUGAUACUAGACAGUGUUCGUGCACAAACCUUUGGGUUCAAUGGCGACCCUUGGCAACAAUGACUAUGUCAGCAAAUCUUAGAAAUGUUGGACUGGGCGAUGGUCACCGCUCCACUAGACUUCGCGUGAAGCUGCACUAGCUCUUUGCCGCCGCUCCCCUCUCCUGGAGCAGACACGACAACGAAGCUCAUGAGGUUGGCUUGUGGUUUCUCCUCUUCAUCCAGGUGAGCGUCGUCUACAAUAGUGAACACCGGAGCCAGCACACUAUCUCCUCUACGAAUGGGCUCAUCUUGUGAGCACUUAUGUGACCACGAAAGAUCACUCAUCGCUUUCCACCUCUUAUGAUAGUUGUCCGUGGAGACCCAAAACUGACUGUCCGCAAUGCCUCUCCUUAUCACGAUCUAACAUAUACCAAAAUCACCUCAGAGUGCUCAGAAACCUUGCACCCCUGCUCUCUCCUCGGCCGCUGCCGCUUCAUCUCAUAACCAAAUUAGGACUCUUAAGGUAGUAGCUGGCAUAGAAUAUCUCUUCAGCAAAGGUCUAAACAUUUUCAUACUUCAUUGUGAGAUGUCCUUUGUG